GCUCAGCGGUCUGGAACUUGCAGGAACAUGAGGAAUCCAUGAAUAAAUGUCUCCUGGCAGUCACCUGCUUGCUUAAACUCUUGACGGCUUCCCUCAGCAAUUAAAACAGCAUCCACCCCUGCCUUUUUAGGGCCCAGGAGGUCCUACUUGAUCUGGCUCUCACCUGUCUUUCCAAUCUCCCUUCAUUCUUCUCCAGUACGCUCCGGCUGCUGCACUGGCCUUAUCCUGUGCCUUGGACAUACUCAAGUUUAUCUUCACCUUAGAGCCCUUGAACUUGCUGCUCCUGCCCAUGACCAGCUUCUCAUUUUGGACACAGCUCCAGGGUCACCUCCUCAGAACGGCUUUUCCUCCCCAACUCCAGUUCUCUCUGUCACAUCACCAUUGAAUUGCCCUUAUGCUCCCUUUCAUGACUUUCCGCUCACUUCUCAACCCCUGCCUGUCUUCCCUUGCAAGAAGAAGAUCCCUCUGCAUAAUAUGGAAGAUGAACUGAAGGUGAACCAUGAUGGCAGCAGUAAAGAGUUUUUAGAUGAGCACACUGAUACUCAAGGAUGGCAUUCCCUAAUUUCUUGUCACCAUUCAACUAUGUUCUGGCCAAUGAGAUCCAACAAAGUGUUGUGUGGGAUUUCUAGAAAAAUCUAUAAGAAGGAGAAGUUUCGGCAGUGAAGCUCAGCCAGUCCCAGCACCCGGAAGGAACCUCCUCACCUCCAUCCCAGGCUCCUAGGGCAGUGCAGGUCAGCCGGUCCCAGCACCCAGAAGGAAGCUCCCUGCCUCCAUCCCAGGCUCCUAGGGCAGUGAAGCUCAGCCAGUCCCAGCACCAAGAAGGAAGCUCCCCUGCUGCCAUCCCAAGCUCCUAGGGCACAGAAGUUGAGCCGCAUGGGUGCCAGAGGCACCACCCCCCCACACAUGGAAAUGAGAAGACACAUAAACAAGCCUCAAAAACAGACUUCCAGAUCACCUACAGCAACCCCAAAGGGAAAUGAGAUGGAACACUCUGAUACUCAACCACCUGGACUCUCUGAACUGGCAACAAAAGAGGAUCUGGGAAAAAUGAAAUCAGAAAUAAUUACUCAGAUAACAGCAAAGAUUUUGCUCAUGGUACAAGACAUGAUUAAUAAAUCUAGGGAGGACACAGAUAAAAAAAUAGAGGAUCUGAGGAAUAUGAUGGAAUCCCAACAUAGGAAACAAAUGGAAUCCAUAAAACAGAUACAAAUAGAUUUCCAGGAGAUUAAAAACUCCAUCGAAAGUCUGUGCAGCAGAAUGAACCAAGGUGAGGAUAGAAUUUCACAUAUAGAAGAUAAGAUUGCAAUUAAUGACCAGGAAAAGAAAAAUUAUUUCAAAAUAAUAAGCGAACACGAGAAAUCAAUCCAGCAGCUGCUAGAUGAUGCAAAGAAGAAUAACAUAAGACUGAUUGGAGUCAAUGAAGAAAGAGGAGAGAGUGCAGAUGACAUAAAAAAACUGUUCACAGAAGUGGUGGCAGAAAACUUCCCAAGAAGGGGAAAAGAACUUGACAUACAGAUAAGUGAGGCAUAUAGGACUUCAAAUAGCCUUGAUCAAAAAAAAAUCUACAUAUAGGCAUAUAAUAGUUAGGAUUCCAGAAAUCCAACAGAAGAAUAAAAUUCUACAAGCAGUGAGAGAAAAGAACCAAAGCACAUACAAAGGAAAGCCCAUCAGAAUCACAGCAGACUUCUCAACGCAAACCCUCAAGGCAAGAAGAGCUUGGAGUGAUGUAUCUCAAGCCCUAAAGGAAAACAGCCUCCAACCCAGAUUGAUGUACCCUGCAAAACUAUCUUUCAAAAUUGAUGGAGAAAUAAGAUACUUUCAUGAUAAAGAGCACCUCAGGAACUUCAUGAAUACCAAACUGGCACUCCAAAAAAUUUUAGACAAUACCCUAGAAAAAGACAAUGAGGAUCACAACCCGAGGAAACCCAGCAGAAUGAAUCCAUUGGGGGUGACAAAUUAAACGCAAAGGGGGAGAAUCCAACAAAAAGAAAAAGUCAUGACAAGGCUUUUAAAACUUUUGACUUUCCCUAAUGAGUAUAUAAUUCAAUCUUAUUAUUGUACUGAUUAGUAUUUUUCUGAUUCUAGAGUUGCACACCAUUCCUUGUGCUAUGCUGGCUAUUUAUCAUCUUAUGUCUACAUUUUAAUUGGGUUGUCUAUUAAUGAGCUCUAAGAAUUCUUUAUAUAUUCUGCUCAUAGGUUAUAUGCAUUGUAAAUAUGGUCUGUUUAAGGACUUUGAAUUUUAAUGAUGUCAUUUAAAGUUCUAAAUUUAUGGAAUCUCAUCAAUUAUUUUUCUUUUAUACAUCAUGGUUUUUGUAUCCUAGGUAGUUCUUGCCUACCCUGAAUUCAUAAAUAUUUUCCCUUAUAAUUUCUUCUUAAAGUUUUACACUUUUAGGCUUUCUUAUUUAGGUUCAUAGAUCCCUUCAAGUUAUUUUCAUGUAUGGAAAAAAAGGGUUGAGGUUAAUUUUUUAUAUAUGGGUUCCAGGUGUUCUAGUGCCAUUUGCUGAAGACACUAUCUCUUCCUCGGCUCUUGAAUUGAGUUUAUAUUCUAUAAAAUGCUAACAUUAAAUAAUCUUUCAAAACUCAGUGGACCAUAUAUGUGUGGUUCUAUUUCUAGAUUCUCUGUUUUAUUCAAAUGAUCUAUAUGUCUUUCCUUACACCAACACUGCCUUGAUUACUGUAGCUUUAGAAGAAGUCUUAAAAUUGGGUGCUAAACGUCUCCCAACACUGUUUUUGUUUUUGUUUUUGUUUUUGUCUUUGGCUUUUCUGGGUCCUUUGUACUCUUACAUAACUUUAAAAUUUCAAUAUCCAGUUCUUCAUUUAUAGCAAGUAUACACAGACCUCAAUUUUUAUAUAUACCUUGUGUUUUCUAAUCCUGCUAAAUUCAAGUACAAGUUCUAGGGGGCCCUAGAGAUUUCUUAAUAUUUUCUCUGUAGAUGAUCAUUUCAUCUACAUAUAAAGAUUUUGCUUCUGCCGUGCCAAUCCUAUCCUAGUUGUGUCAUUUUAUUGCCAGACUAUUUUGGUUUAGACCUAUGUUUCAAAGUCUAAUGGACAGAUUGUAAGACCGAGGGCCUUACCAAACACUCUGAGGAGCUGACUACAAUGAAGAACACCCGGGAGGGAACACACAAGACAAGUUGGAAAGUAAAACAGACCUUUAUUAAUCUGGCCAGACGGCACCCUCCAAGCAAACAAGCUUAGAGAGGCAACUGGCUCAGAGUCCGAGGCUCUUUUAUAGGGGUUGCAAGGGGAAGUUAGCAAGCAGAGAUGACAAAGGCGAGAUGCUGAUGGUUAGGGGAUUUAGAUAGCAUGUUCCAGUACAUUUAGAUAGUAGAUAGCAUGUUCCAGUACAUUUCCUGUUUAUGGGGAGUUGGGUAAUUUCAAAGAACACUGUGCAUUCCGUAAACCUUUGUUUUUCUUCCCAGAAAUGACAUCACAUGUUUUACUCAGAAGGGGAGGGGGAGUAUUGAGUGAGGCAACAUGGAGUAACCUUUGUUCAAUCUCAUAUAGUCCCACAAGAUGAAGAGUGGGCAUAUAUGCCCUUGUUCCCCACUUUAGGGAGAGAACAUUGUAUCAUCUCUAUUCAUAGAAGGAGUUUUUGUUGGAAGUAUGGAGUACAUGUCUUUGAUCUGUUGAGAAGGUUCUGUUCUACUUCUAGUCUCCUGAUAGCUUUUACUAUGAACAGCUGUAGAAUUUAGUCCAAUACUCUUUCUCGAACUAGUGACAGGAUCAUAUGGCUUUUUCCUUUCCUCUGUUAAAAUGAUGACUUUUGGGGGUGGAUCUUCCAAUGCUGAACCAACACUGCCAUCCCUAUAACAAAACCACUUUCUACAUACUGCCAGAUCUGACUUUUAAGAGUUUGUUUUGUUGAACAAAUUUCUAUGUUCAUACUUUUUUCUUCUAUUAUCUUUAUCCAGUUUUAGAAUUAGCACAGUGUUGAUUUCCUAAAAUGAGGGGAGAAGUGUUCCUUCUUUUUUCUGCUUUAAUUGUUUGAUAUAAUUUAUCAGUUAAAAUAUUUAUGAGCCUACUGUUGUCAUAUAGGUAGGUUUUCAAGCUAGAAAUAUACUUUCUUUAGUAGGUGCUAUUCAAAUUUUAUAUUUCCUCCAGAGUUUCCUUAAUUUGUCUUCUAAGUUACUUCUUAGAAGUUGUCAAAUUUAUUUCAAAACAGAUUUUUGUAAUAUGCUUUCUAUAUCCUUUUAAAUUCUGUAAAAUCUGUGGUAACGUCCCUAGAUCUUAAUAUUGUAAUUUAAAAAAUGUAUAACUGAUAUUGUGCAACAGGAAGAAAAGGUCUAAAAGAGCAGGG
Molecule: long non-coding RNA, 4300 nt
Organism: Heterocephalus glaber (naked mole-rat)
Lineage: Eukaryota; Metazoa; Chordata; Mammalia; Rodentia; Bathyergidae
Source: Ensembl